CAUCCAUUGAUCCCUCGCCCGGCACUUUUUAAUCUGAUUCUCCCCUUCUCUUCUCUGAUUGAUCGACCCAAAUCAUCCUCUUGUUCAAUCGUAGAAUUUAACAUGGGUACGGUGGAGGAACAGACUUCGCUUCUGGAGGACGGGCUCCUGGAACAGAACAAAAGCAAUGGGCUCUAUACUGGUGAUGGCUCAGUUGACCUUCGUGGCAAUCCUGUACUUAAGGAGAAGACAGGAAAUUGGAAAGCAUGUCCUUUCAUUUUGGGUACUGAAUGUUGUGAGCGUUUGGCCUAUUAUGGGAUCGCCACUAAUCUUGUUACUUAUCUUACCAAUAAGCUGCACGAAGGAAAUGUGUCUGCGGCUAGAAAUGUUACAACCUGGGCAGGCACUUGCUACAUUAUGCCCCUCAUUGGAGCUGUCCUGGCAGAUGCUUAUUGGGGAAGAUAUUGGACAAUAGCUGCUUUCUCAACAAUCUAUUUAAUUGGGAUGUGUACCUUGACACUCUCAGCUUCAGUUCCCGCAUUAAAGCCAGUUGAAUGUGUGGGUUCUAUAUGUCCUCCUGCAAGUCCAGCUCAAUAUGCAGUGUUCUUCUUUGGGCUUUAUCUGAUUGCACUUGGGACAGGUGGUAUCAAGCCUUGUGUUUCUUCCUUUGGGGCUGACCAAUUUGAUGACACUGAUCCUCAGGAAAGGGUGAAGAAGGGAUCUUUCUUCAACUGGUUUUAUUUUUCUAUCAACAUUGGUGCUCUUAUAUCAAGUAGUCUACUGGUUUAUAUUCAAGACAAUGCUGGGUGGGGUCUGGGAUUUGGAAUUCCUGCAUUAUUUAUGGGCAUUGCUAUUGCAAGCUUCUUUUCAGGCACAACCCUCUAUAGAUUUCAGAAACCAGGGGGGAGUCCUAUUACAAGAAUGUGCCAGGUUUUGGUUGCAUCAUUCCGUAAGAGGAAUCUGGAGGUUCCCAGCGAUAGUAGUCUCCUAUAUGAAACACAAGAAGGAAGCUCAGCGAUUGAAGGGAGCAGAAAGCUGGAGCAUAGCAAUGGCUUGAAGUGCCUUGAUAAAGCUGCUGUAAUUUCAGAUACUGAUGCCAAAAGUGGUGACUUUUCCAAUCCAUGGAGGCUUUGUACAGUGACACAGGUGGAGGAAUUGAAGAUUUUGGUCCGCAUGUU
This 1157-nucleotide unclassified non-coding RNA is filed under the name Hevea brasiliensis (rubber tree). The record is from RNAcentral. Lineage: Eukaryota; Viridiplantae; Streptophyta; Magnoliopsida; Malpighiales; Euphorbiaceae.